Molecule: ribosomal RNA, 253 nt
Filed under: uncultured bacterium
Lineage: Bacteria
Description: partial 16S ribosomal RNA
Rfam family: Bacterial small subunit ribosomal RNA
Source: RNAcentral
UACAGAGGUCUCAAGCGUUGUUCGGAUUCAUUGGGCGUAAAGGGUGCGUAGGCGGCGCGGUAAGUCGGGUGUGAAAUCUCGGGGCUUAACUCCGAAACUGCAUUCGAUACUGCCGUGCUUGAGGACUGGAGAGGAGACUGGAAUUUACGGUGUAGCGGUGAAAUGCGUAGAUAUCGUAAGGAAGACCAGUGGCGAAGGCGGAUCUCUGGACAGUUCCUGACGCUGAGGCACGAAGGCCAGGGGAGCAAACGGG